UUUUAUGUUGACAAUGAUAAUAUUAUAUUCUACAAUCUAUUUGCAUUUCUCUAUCCUGUGGAUUUUAUUGCUUAGUAUAAAUCCCCAGGCUGAGGUGCAUUAAGCUUCACUCAGAGAGAAACAAUGCAUUUUAUCAUAGGGCCGGACAGCUACAUGCACAAGAUGCUACCUGCAGAGAUUGGUUUUUGCCCAGAUGUGCAGGAGAGAUGCACAGAGAGGAAGAAAUGCAUACAUGUGUGCAGAUUUUGGCAUGUGCACAAGAAGCCUGGAAGGAUUUUCUUUGGAUCUACAGUCAAAAUGGAUUUCCGAGAGGAAGCUGUCUGAACACACACCUCUUCCCUGUGCUACAUACGGUCCCAUCUCUGCCAGCCAGGUUGUCAGGAAAGUGAUCAGCACUGGCUUCAACUCUGGCUAGAGCUCUUUGGCCAAUGUGACGGGCAGAAAACUGGAAUGAGGACAGAAAAGCACCUCAGAGGUUUGAAGAGUCGCGUCUCUCACCACCUUGCUAGUAGAGCCAGAGAGAAAUUUGCCCUGGGCCUAAUAUUCAUGAAGCCUUUCCAAUUCAGACUCGGUAUUAUUGCCAAGUCGGUGUGUUUGGGAGAAAUCAGAAGCCAACACACUAGAAAAGUUGCAGGAGAUUCCUAGGGGAACCCACAAAGUCAGUUCCUUGCCAGAAACCUGCUCCUCCAGGUGAAUCCGGUGCAUCGGAUGGGCUCAGAUGCACAGGUGGCGCAAGCAGACCUCUACUGAGAAGAACAACAGUGGAAGGCAGAUGAAACUCACAUUUUGGAGUCUGAGAGCCAUGCGGGCCCACCCCAGUCACGUCUACCCCUGGUCGGUGACCAGAGAAUCCUUUAGCAGCAACAGCAGGGAUGUUUAUUUCACUGGUAUGUAUAAAGCGACUGAUUGAAAACAAGCUGUAUGCCCAACAACUUGGAACUGGUUAAAUGAUUUUUGGUUCAGCCACACGGUGGAAUAUCAUGCGGCCAUUAAGAAUAAAUAAAAAAUCCUAUACUUUCCAUAUUCAACUUUAGACUGCAAACAACUGAAACAACACCUUCACAAUUAGGCUUCCUCAGAUUAGAACGUGAAGUCAAGUCAACGUGUGUCAGAAAGCUAACAACAGCUAACUGUUUGUUGUGGUGUUCUGAGUAACUUGUAUUAUUUUUCAGUUUUUUUUCCCAUUCCUAAUGUGCAAAUGUACUAUUUUUAUUGUAAAAAAACACACACAUUUGUAAAGAGCAAUAACAUAAAUCUCUGCAUAGGCAAAUUGAAAGGAAAUCAGACAAAAUGAUAUCUUUUGGUAGUGGAAUUCUAAAUCAUUUUUUUCUUCAUUAGAGUUUCUGAAUUUUCUGCAUUUGAUAUGUUUACCUUUAUAAAGCGUCAAUCAUAUUUAAGAUGAUUUUUUAAAAGACAAGUAGACAGGGAAAGAGAGGUCUGCUGUUGCAAAACCAAAGCUGGAGGCUCUCCAAAGCCCACUUAUGUUAGUCAAUUGAUAUUUCAUGAAACUCUAGAAUGUGCAAAUCACUUUCCACGGGGAUUGGAGGGGUGAGAAAUACAGAGAUGAAGGAGAUGCAAACACUUUAAUCAAAGAAAUCUGUCCAGUUGGGAAGAGAAGGUUCUGCGUUAUAUAAGUUGCAAGGUCUUAUCCAAGAGGUUAGUCUGUCAAGAGUAAUAGCAAUAAUUACACAACAAUAUGUCAGAGUGGCUGGGAGCUCCAGCUUCAAAGCCACCUUGCCUGGGGGGAAACUCAUUUCCAUUUCUUAACCAUAUUGGGCCUGAGCCUCAGUUACCUACCUCUUCUGUAAAUGUAAACUACCUCUUGGGGUCCUUGUGAGGAUUAAAUGAAACAUGAGCCUAAAGGGGCUGAGCUAGGUGCUUUGCAAAUAAUCGAACCUUAGCAUGAGGCACGUUAUCAUCAUUAUGGCUGUGGUGUUUGUGGUCACCUAUCUGCAAGUCACGCUUUCAUAGAUAUGGCUGAGCUGGGAUUUGAACCCACAUUGAUCUAAUUCCAAAGCCAAUGAUUCCACCCCAACCAGACACUGCAUUUACUCUCUAUGCCUAACUGAAAUUUGUUCUAAACCUCACCCUAAGGUCUUGCCAGAAAGAAAAGCUAAAUUUUCAUUAAAAGAUGAAAGGAGAAAUGAAUCUGUUUCAAAGGACAUGAGAGGAAGAAGGAAAUAUCCCUUCAUGAAGGAUUUUGCAACUUUGUCCAUGCUUCUGCAGGGUGUAAAAGUAAAAAUCCUAUACUUCCCAUAUUCAACGUUAGAUUUUAAACAACUGAACAAGCACUUUCACAAUUAGCCUUCCUCAGAUUGGAAUGCGAAGUCAAGCCAACGUGUACCUCUUACUGCAGAUUUCUGCACUGUGAAUGUGAUAGGAUUUGCCUCCUUAACCAGAGGGUGCUGGUUUUUCCUGGCUGAAGGGUAGAAGGUCAUGAAUAGAGGACAAAGCACAGGGAAGGGGCAGCAUGUGGGGAAGAGCCCCAAGGAUCUCAGUAUGAAAAUAAAGAGGUGUGAGCCAACUGCCCGUAGGUUUGGGCUAUGAGUCUGGGGAAACUGUUUUAAAAUCAGUGGAGGCCCAAAGGCAGAGAGAAAAUUCUGUGUAUGGACUUCCAUGUCAUUCAGAAAUGUUAACUCCUUGAAAAGAGUUAAUAUAUUUUUUUCUUUUUUAAACAUUUCAAUAGGUUUUUGGGGAACAGGUGGUGUUUGGUUCCGUGAAUAAGUUCUUUAGUGGUGAUUUCUGAGAUUUUGGUGCACCCAUCACCUGAGCAGUGUACAUUCUACCCAUUGUGUAGUCUUUUAUCUUUCACUCCCCUCCCACUUAGAAUAACGGUCUCCAAUUCCAUCCAGGUUUGCUGCGAAGGACAUUAUUUCAUUCCUUUUUAUGGCUGAGUUGUAUUCCAUGGUGUAUAUAUAUAUACCACAAUUUCUUUAUCCAAUCAUUGAUUGAUGGGUAUGCAGGCUGGUUCCAUACUUUUCCAAUUGCAAAUUGUGCUGCUAUAAACAUCCAUGUGCAAGUAUAUUUUUGGUAUAAUGAUAUGUUUCCUCUGAGUGGAUACCCAGUAGUGGGAUUGCUGGAUCAAAUGGUAGUUCUACUUUUAGCUCUUUAAGGAAUCUCCACACUGUUUUCCAUAGUGGUUGUACUAGUUUACAUUUCCACCGGCAAUGUAAAAGUGUUUCUUCCUGUCCCUCUGGUCAUCUGUUUUUUUAAGGGAUCUACCUGAACUCAACCAUAACCCAUUCCAUCCACCUCAUCUUGCCUCAAGCUAAGAAAUAGGAGUGCGGAGAAGAAAACAGUACAGAUAAGAGUGCUAGAAGGUUGUGUGUUUGAAUAAGAAGGAACAUGGAUCAGGUUUCAAGUACAGUACCUGAGGCAGGUAUGAGGUAGUAGCUAAUGGGGUGAGGUAGGCAGAAAAGGCUUCUAAAGAAGCAGGUACUUGAGUUGGGUCUUCAAGGCCAUAGUGAGUGGUUUCCCGGUGGAUCUGAGAAAGGAAGGUGAGUUUAGAGAGAGGGAAGAGCCCGCAGUGAGGCAUGAAAAUGUACACUGUGCCUUCAGCGAGCUUGGUGGGUGGCAAUGUCUGGAUCCAAGUGUGUGUGGAGGAGACUUUGCACAAUAAGGCCACUAGGCAGGUAGGAUGGCCCCCAGAGGGUUUUGGCUGACAAGCUGAGGGACAUGCUAUAAGGGUAGGGGCCAGGGGAAGAGAUGGCUCCCUGGCAGUGGGUCCCCUGUGUGCUCAGCAGCUCAUGGAUAACAGAGGAUAACAGGCCCGUACCUCCAUAUUGCCCAACAUGUUAUCACAUCUUCAGUUUGGAGAGAAGAAUUAAAUUCGUCUGAGUUUAUAAUUUACCAGAUGACUUUGGAUAAGCACAUAUUUGGAACCUCAGAUAAUUCAUCCAUUCAUUUGCUCAUUCAGAACAGUUCUUGCGCAUCACUUUAUAUUCAGUGCUGCUGAAGUUUCUUUGGGGGCUACACAGGUUAGUAAGGCUUGGUUUUCAUCUCAGGAACCUUAUAGCCAGAAUGAGGGAGAGGUGAGUACUAACUCCACAGUGUUAUCCCAGUCGCUACUCAUUUCCCUUACCACCACCCCUUCAAACACUUCAGUGUACUUUCAGCUCUCAAGAAAAAUGCAAACUUUCAUCUGGGCCUAAGAAUCUCUAUAUGAACUACCCCUGCUCACCUCUGGAGAGGCAUCCCCUUCCACCACCCUCCCCUCCUUCUUCUCUAUCCUUAUUGCUCCUUUCAAUAGUCCUGACAGGAUCCCUUUCAGCCACAGGCCCUUAGCAAAUGCUGCUGUCACGGCCCAAGUCAUCUUCCCUGGUUCAUGCCUACUUCGGAUUAAAGUUACCCCUCCGGAGAGUGUUCCCGAUCAAUCUGAAUUGACCAAGUCCUUAUUACACACUCUCGAACUCCAUGAGAUGUCCUUCAUAGCUCUCAUCCAAGUUAUAAUUAGUUUGCAUUUAUUUACACAAUGGCUGUAUUAAUGUCUGUAUUCUCCACCAGAAUGAGAGCUUCAUGAGAGCCAGGAUGUGUGUUUUCUCAAAAUCUGCUUUAUUGUGGUCUAAUUUGUGUAUAAUAAACACACCCAUGUUAGGUGUACCUAUCAAUGAAUUUUUAGAAAUUUAUUUAAAAUGUCUAUAUUUGUGUAACCACCAGCACGGCAAUCAAAUACUGAACAUUCCCAUCACCUGAAGAG
This 4696-nucleotide long non-coding RNA is filed under the name Pan troglodytes (chimpanzee). RNAcentral's name for it is "long non-coding RNA NONPTRT014341". Lineage: Eukaryota; Metazoa; Chordata; Mammalia; Primates; Hominidae. The record is from RNAcentral.